Molecule: ribosomal RNA, 491 nt
Filed under: uncultured bacterium
Lineage: Bacteria
Description: bacterial SSU rRNA
Rfam family: Bacterial small subunit ribosomal RNA
Source: RNAcentral
AAUGAACGCUGGCGGCGCGCCUAAUACAUGCAAGUCGAGCGAGAAGACGUAGCAAUACGUUUGUAAAGCGGCGAACGGGUGAGGAAUACAUGGGUAACCUACCCUCGAGUGGGGAAUAACUAGCCGAAAGGUUAGCUAAUACCGCGUACGCUCCUUGGACUUCGGUUCAGGGAGGAAAGCGAUACCGUGGGUAUCGCGCUCUUGGAUGGGCUCAUGUCCUAUCGGCUUGUUGGUGAGGAACGGCUCACCAAGGCUUCGACGGGUAGCUGGUCUGAGAGGACGAUCAGCCACACUGGCACUGCGACACGGGCCAGACUCCUACGGGAGGCAGCAGUAAGGAAUAUUGCGCAAUGGGCGAAAGCCUGACGCAGCGACGCCGCGUGGGGGAUGAAGGUCUUCGGAUUGUAAACCUCUUUCAGCUCCGACGAAGCGAGAGUGACGGUAGGAGCAGAAGAAGCACCGGCCAACUACGUGCCAGCAGCCGCGGUAAC